This 292-nucleotide ribosomal RNA is filed under the name uncultured bacterium. RNAcentral describes it as "partial 16S ribosomal RNA". It matches the Rfam family "Bacterial small subunit ribosomal RNA", at positions 505 to 796 of the family's 1533-position model. The record is from RNAcentral.
GUGCCAGCAGCCGCGGUAAGACGAACCGUGCGAACGUUGUUCGGAAUCACUGGGCUUAAAGGGCGCGUAGGCGGGUUUUCAAGUCUGUGGUGAAAUCCUCCAGCUUAACUGGAGAAGUGCCGUGGAUACUGGAGACCUCGAGGAGGGUAGGGGCAUCUGGAACAGCCGGUGGAGCGGUGAAAUGCGUUGAUAUCGGCUGGAACUCCGAUGGCGAAGGCAAGGUGCUGGACCCUCUCUGACGCUGAGGCGCGAAAGCUAGGGGAGCAAACAGGAUUAGAUACCCUGGUAGUCC